RNAcentral lists this long non-coding RNA (1267 nucleotides) under Anolis carolinensis (green anole). RNAcentral describes it as "lncRNA (ENSACAG00000040013.1)". The record is from RNAcentral. Lineage: Eukaryota; Metazoa; Chordata; Lepidosauria; Squamata; Anolidae.
UUAAAAACUGUGGCAUAGACACUGAGAACUGGAGAACUAAUUGGAGGUCAGCUGUGACCAGCAGUGCUGCGGAGUUCGAAGAUUCACGAAUGGAGGGCUUAAGGGAGAAACGUGCCAAGAGGAAGGCCCAUUAAGUCAACCCUGACCGGGACCGCCUUCCGCCUGGAAACCGAUGUCCUCACUGCGGGAGAACAUGCAGAUAAAGAAUAGGUCUCUUCAGCCAUCUAAGAACCCACCCUCAAGACCCCACAGCUGGAAGACCAUCAUCCUCGAACUACAAGGGAUCGCCUAAGUAAGUAAGUAAAACUCAUUUAAUACAGACUGAACUGAACUGAACUGGAUUAUGUGAGUUUACACUGCUAUAUAAUCUAGUUCAAUGCAGUUAAUCUGAAUUCUGAAACUGCAUUAUAUGACAGUGUAGAUGGGGCCAUAGUCUUUCAGAUUAUCUCAAAAGUGUACUCAAGUGAGUAUACCUGCCCCUUCACAGAAAUUUCAUUUCUCCCCUGCUCCUUCCAGGCUCAGUUUAGAGUCAUAGUCAUAACCUAGAAAAGCCGUCUUGGAUUGGAUGCAGAAUAUCUCAAAAUGGUGCCUAAGCCUAGUGUACCUGGUGAUUUUUUAAGGGAAAGUUUUACAUAAUCCUCACUACGGUUAAUAACACAGCAAGAGGGUUUCCACCUCUAUCAUGAUUUUUGGUCUCAGUGUCUCCUGUAUUGAUAAUAGUGGUUAGACCUAAGAGGCAUGACAAACAUGCAUGCAGACAUAGGUUACACUGACACGAAGAACUGCGAAAUCUUUACUACUGGAUAAUAUUAUUGGUUAUUUGUGGUAUUCUUUAGUAUUAAUUUUUCAAUUAUUCACCCAGGCACAUCUUCAACAGGCCUUUUUAACAAUUUACAGGGUUCACAGCAAAAGUGCUUGAAGCAGCCUUCCUCUGUUAGAGAGCUUUUUCCACCUGUCAUUUCCAUUUGUGAAAUCCUUUCUGUGAUUGAUAGGAUGGCAAAGACCAGACAGAAAGGCAGAGGCACAGCGAGCGACAUGACUAUUGCAAUGCGCUCUACGUGGGGCUGCCCUUGAAGACGGUCCGGAAACUCCAAUUAGUCCAACACUCGGAAGCCAGGUUUCUAACUGGAGCGAAUAACAGGGAGCGGUCUACCCCCCUGUUUAAGGAGCUCCAUUGGCUGCUGUCAUCUUCCAGACCCAAAUCAAGGUGCAGGUGAUUACCUACAAAGCCCUGAAUGGUUUGGGACCCACCUACCUUCAUGACCGC